GGCCCUGCCCUGUCGGUUUUAGGUUGGGGUGACCACGGAGUAUAAUAUACCCUCCAUGAAAAAGGGAGUAAUAAUCCUUAUUAGAGAACAACACUUCUAAAAAUUAAAACAUUAAUUUAUAAUGAUCCGAUAUUCGAUCAACGAACCAAGUUACCCUGGGGAUAACAGCGCAAUCUGCCUCAAGAGCCCCUAUCGACAGGCGGGUUUACGACCUCGAUGUUGGAUCAGGGCAUCCCAGUGGUGCAGCAGCUACUAAAGGUUCGUUUGUUCAACGAUUAAAACCCU
RNAcentral lists this ribosomal RNA (285 nucleotides) under Boophis marojezensis. RNAcentral describes it as "partial 16S ribosomal RNA". It matches the Rfam family "Bacterial large subunit ribosomal RNA", at positions 2250 to 2597 of the family's 2925-position model. The record is from RNAcentral. Lineage: Eukaryota; Metazoa; Chordata; Amphibia; Anura; Mantellidae.